Molecule: ribosomal RNA, 253 nt
Filed under: uncultured bacterium
Lineage: Bacteria
Description: partial 16S ribosomal RNA
Rfam family: Bacterial small subunit ribosomal RNA
Source: RNAcentral
UACGUAGGGUGCAAGCGUUGUCCGGAAUUAUUGGGCGUAAAGAGCUCGUAGGCGGUUUGUCGCGUCUGCUGUGAAAACCCGAGGCUCAACCUCGGGCCUGCAGUGGGUACGGGCAGACUAGAGUGCGGUAGGGGAGAUUGGAAUUCCUGGUGUAGCGGUGGAAUGCGCAGAUAUCAGGAGGAACACCAAUGGCGAAGGCGGAUCUCUGGGCCGUAACUGACGCUGAGGAGCGAAAGCAUGGGGAGCGAACAGG